ACUCCUACGGGAGGCAGCAGUGGGGAAUCUUGCGCAAUGGGCGGAAGCCUGACGCAGCAACGCCGCGUGAGGGAAGACGGCCUUCGGGUUGUAAACCUCUUUCAGGGGGGACGAAGCUUCCGAGGUUAAUAGCCUACGGGGUGACGGUACCCCAGAAGAAGCCCCGGCUAACUACGUGCCAGCAGCCGCGGUAAUACGUAGGGGGCGAGCGUUGUCCGGGAAUUAUUGGGCGUAAAGCGCGUGUAGGCGGCUAGGUAAGUCUGGUGUGAAAUCUUGGGGCUCAACCCCAAGCCUGCACUGGAUACUGCCCAGCUAGAGUCCGGGAGAGGAGAGUGGAAUUCCCAGUGUAGCGGUGAAAUGCGCAGAUAUUGGGAAGAACACCGGUGGCGAAGGCGGCUCUCUGGAACGGAACUGACGCUGAGACGCGAAAGCGUGGGGAGCGAACAGGGAUUAGAUA
This 457-nucleotide ribosomal RNA is filed under the name uncultured bacterium. RNAcentral's name for it is "bacterial SSU rRNA". It matches the Rfam family "Bacterial small subunit ribosomal RNA", at positions 335 to 784 of the family's 1533-position model. The record is from RNAcentral.